This is a long non-coding RNA of Canis lupus familiaris (dog), 1057 nucleotides long. RefSeq lists it as uncharacterized. The record is from RefSeq and is a predicted model, not a curated record. The transcript is spliced from 2 exons. NCBI's taxonomy places the organism in Eukaryota, Metazoa, Chordata, Mammalia, Carnivora, Canidae.
UCAGAAUUUCACUCCCCGCUGAGUCUCCUACCAUGCAUGGGGUUACUUUGGAGGGAUCUCAUCAUGCUGAAUAGCACGCACUUUUCUUUUAAAAAGCUACUUUUUAAAGUAGAUAAAUGGCAUAUGAUUUUUAUAAGUGCUAUCUAAUUUCAAAACCAACCUAAAGUGGCUUCUACGACCUCUGAGAUUCCAGGGCUCAGCAGUGGGAAGUGCCACAGAGCCGCCCACCCCAUCGGGGCCAGCGUGUGAGACUUCAUGGUAUCACACUCACUGCCAGUUGUACCUGUGCUGAGGGCCGUGCAAGGCGUGCCCCACGGCAAGGACCUACCGAGCCCUCCCUAGGAGGAGCACACACGAACCCAGCCACAGUCUAGAUGCGCGAAUGUCCCGGCUUUCACAAUUUACAAAUGUUUCAAGUGAAAUUUAUUUUUACUACUUUUAUGAAAAGUCACUAUGUGCUGCAAAUUUGUAAACAAUGUGAGAUGGAAGAGGACGUAAGCUGCAUUGUCUCUAUGCUUGCACCUGGAGGAAAGAAACCACGACUACUCAUUGUGGCGCCACCUUCAUAAGAAAAUGUUCUACAUCUCUAUCGGUAUUCAAGUUCUUAUUUGCAAGCAACAAAAACUCUACACAUCUGAGCAGGUGGAGCCCUUACUGGAAGCUGGAGCUAGAGACAGAAGCUGGAGCCUCUGAGAUAGAAGAGGAGAAAGAAGGACAUUGCGCUGAAGACACUUAGGGCCUAAGUGAGGACAACUGUGUUCUCUAGUGUGGGAAGGACAUACAUUCUUGGUCACACUUUCAUGGGAGUCUGCUCGUCACUUAAUUCCAGCUAUUACGACAACCGUGACUAUGUCGGGGUCAUUACCUGAGUGGUGUGGCUCUCUCUCUGUCUCUGAAAUGAUGAGGGCGUGGAGCUGCUCACAGACAACCUGGAGAAUCCAUCUUCUUCAGGUAAACCUAUGGAGGUUAAUGCCAAGAAGUCGUUAAGUUGUGUAUCCUUCCCCCAAAUAAGACAAGCCGUGUACUUACUGCAAUAAACUCAAAUUGUUCAAGUUCA